This is a regulatory RNA element of Virgibacillus sp., 115 nucleotides long. It matches the Rfam family "ylbH leader". From Rfam's summary of the family: This family is a putative regulatory RNA structure that is found upstream of the ylbH gene in B. subtilis and related low GC Gram-positive bacteria. The record is from Rfam. NCBI's taxonomy places the organism in Bacteria, Bacillati, Bacillota, Bacilli, Caryophanales, Bacillaceae.
AAAAAAAUAAACCUGCAGAAAUCAUUCUGCAGGUCUUUUUGUUUUUUAAAACAAAAAGUAAAGGGAGAGGAGAAAUCAGAAGAAGAACUUAUGGGGAAGUAAGUCUUCUUCUAGA